This 467-nucleotide ribosomal RNA is filed under the name uncultured bacterium. RNAcentral's name for it is "partial 16S ribosomal RNA". It matches the Rfam family "Bacterial small subunit ribosomal RNA", at positions 28 to 507 of the family's 1533-position model. The record is from RNAcentral.
GACGAACGCUGGCGGCGUGCUUAACACAUGCAAGUCGAACGGAAAGGCCCUGCUUUUGUGGGGUGCUCGAGUGGCGAACGGGUGAGUAACACGUGAGUAACCUGCCCUUGACUUUGGGAUAACUUCAGGAAACUGGGGCUAAUACCGGAUAGGAGCUCCUGCUGCAUGGUGGGGGUUGGAAAGUUUCGGCGGUUGGGGAUGGACUCGCGGCUUAUCAGCUUGUUGGUGGGGUAGUGGCUUACCAAGGCUUUGACGGGUAGCCGGCCUGAGAGGGUGACCGGCCACAUGGGGACUGAGAUACGGCCCAGACUCGUACGGGGGGUACGGGUGGGGAAUGUAGCACAAUGGCGGAAGCCUGAUGCAGCAACGCCGCGUGCGGGAUGACGGCCUUCGGGUUGUAAACCGCUUUCGCCUGUGACGAAGCGUGAGUGACGGUAAUGGGUAAAGAAGCACCGGCUAACUACGUG